AUGGGGUGCAUCCCCUCGCGUGCGGCGUCUCGGUCCGCCGCGCCAGCGUCCACGCCGGCGCCCGCGUCCACGCCCAGCCCCUGGGGCGAUCUACCGCUGGAGCUACUCGUCGAGGUCUCUGACCGCCUGCAGCACGCCACCGACUUCGUCCGCUUCCACGCCGUCUGCAGGCCGUGGCGCGACGCGGCGGCGCUGCUCUCCCGCCGCACCUGCCUGCCGUGGGUUCUCACGUUGUGCCACGACGAGAUGCUACACUCCAUCAUCGACUUUCAUCACCCCCUCGAGACGCCGCAGGACGACCACCGCGACUUCAUCCUCGCCGAUCCACCAAGUGCGCCACGUGCCAAUAACAGAAUCAGAAUCUGGGUGGCUAGCGCGGAUGGCACGGCUACCUGGCUCUUCGUUGCGAGUCCCCAGCCGAGACUCGUCGACAUUCUUACCGGAGCCGUCAAGCCCUUACCUCCCUUCCCAGACGAUGAAAGAAUGUCCAUGGAGAAUUUGCGCGGCGUCGUCUAUGGCGAUGGUACUGUUUUUCUCUACAACUUUAUUAACAGGUACCCCUCAGAGUCCAUUACGGCGGCUAUCAUGUGUCCCGGCAGUGUGACCUGGACGGUCAUGACAAACAGGUUGGAAUCGUUUCGACAACCCUAUGCCAUGUACCAUGAUGGCAAGGUCCUAGUGCUGGAUGGUGAUUCUCUGUGGUGCUUCAUGAUGACGACGGACUUGGAAGCCAACGACGGUGAUGUCGGCAGAGUCGAGUUGGGAUCUAUAUGGAGAUAUACAUUAUUCUCAUGA
This 795-nucleotide ribosomal RNA is filed under the name Triticum aestivum (bread wheat). Its description in RNAcentral is "partial small subunit ribosomal RNA". The record is from RNAcentral. Lineage: Eukaryota; Viridiplantae; Streptophyta; Magnoliopsida; Poales; Poaceae.